UUUCAACCAGAGCCAAGAAGGGCUCUCAAGCUCAAGCCCUAGUAUUGCUAAAUUGGCCAAAUUGAAAGGCCAAAUCAAACCCAAAUCGAAAUCCAAGCGCAAAUUAGUGAUCACCUCAGUAAAGGGAUCAUAAGACAAAGGAGUUGAGUCUUCAAGCGGACAAACCGGAGUGGACAUGCGCUUGAAGGGAACGCUUUAAAGUGAAAAUGGUUGAGUUGGUGAAGUUGCUCUUGCUCCGGAUGGUGAUCAAGCAUGAAUCUAAGAACCGAACACACCUCUCAAUGAAGCUUCCGCAAUUAUUAUGUUUUGUUUAAAAAAAAGAUUAUGUAAACACACUCAACUAUGUUUUGGGAUGUUGUAAACAUGUUUUAAAUACUUAUAAUGUAAGUGUUUUUGU
RNAcentral lists this long non-coding RNA (397 nucleotides) under Helianthus annuus (common sunflower). RNAcentral describes it as "sRNA HanXRQr2_Chr11g0506811". Lineage: Eukaryota; Viridiplantae; Streptophyta; Magnoliopsida; Asterales; Asteraceae. The record is from RNAcentral.